CCCCUCUCAGGAUCGCAUCUGGAGAGUUUCCAGUACUCUAUGAGUCUCGGCUACAGGAGAGAAAGUCAAGUAGAGGAGUACCCAUUCCAUUCCUAGCUUGGGCAGUGGCUAGCAAGUGGAAGGCAAUCCACUACAAUU
This is a small nucleolar RNA of Tachyglossus aculeatus (Australian echidna), 138 nucleotides long. The record is from RefSeq and is a predicted model, not a curated record. NCBI's taxonomy places the organism in Eukaryota, Metazoa, Chordata, Mammalia, Monotremata, Tachyglossidae.